Sapajus apella (tufted capuchin) is the source of this 754-nucleotide long non-coding RNA. RefSeq lists it as uncharacterized. The transcript is spliced from 3 exons. Lineage: Eukaryota; Metazoa; Chordata; Mammalia; Primates; Cebidae. The record is from RefSeq and is a predicted model, not a curated record.
GGCUCCACUUACCCUGCCUUUGGGGCUGCUUCUCCCCAGACCAUGCCCUGGUGCCCUGGGCCCAGCACGUGGUGACUUUUGACAGCCGGGUGUGAAACCUCAGCAUCCAGUGCGGCAGCAUCCUCCUGGCCCAAGACUUUGCUCACAACACAUUCUCCCUGAUGCUGAUUCGGACAGGCUUGGGUCUCAUGGCCCUGACCGUGGAGCUGAACCAUGUGACCCUCAUCUUCUACCCCAGCCUGCAGGUGAGAAGGAGAGGCCCGAGCUUCCCCUGGAGACCUGUGCCUGUGGCAGGUUGCCUGGGGGAUGGCACUUUCAAGCUUGUCCCCUGGCUGUGGGUCAGCUCUCCUGCCCACCCGCUCUGGUCCACAGGCCUACAGGCUAUACAGCUCCUACCUGCUGGGGGAGAGCUGUCCAGACCUCCAGCUGCCACCUGCCCUGACAAGGAGGGACGUCCCCAGGAUUGAGCUGGCCAGUGAGGACAAAGUCUGUCUCCUGUGAUGUGCCCACCAGCCCCUGCAGCCUGACUCUGGGCCUCUGGCACCAUGGUGGAUGGUGACUGCAAGGCCACCAAGAAGACUCAGCUGACCUGCCCAGGACAGAGCCCUGCCUGCCAGGCCUUCUUCCAGGACCUCCAUUCCAGCUUGAGGAACUGCUUCUGGGUGGAAGCAGCCCUGGACUCAUGCAGUGCCAAGACAGGAAGUGGUCUGGCUCAAUGGGAACCUUGGAGAAUCUGGGAAUCAAGCAGAAGCAC